UUCAGCUUGCAAGUCUAUCUGCAGUAGACGCUGAGAGAGGAGCUUGCUCUUCUUGGAUGAGUUGCGAACGGGUGAGUAACGCGUAGGUAACCUGCCUUGUAGCGGGGGAUAACUAUUGGAAACGAUAGCUAAUACCGCAUAACAAUGGAUGACACAUGUCAUUUAUUUGAAAGGGGCAAUUGCUCCACUACAAGAUGGACCUGCGUUGUAUUAGCUAGUAGGUGAGGUAAUGGCUCACCUAGGCGACGAUACAUAGCCGACCUGAGAGGGUGAUCGGCCACACUGGGACUGAGACACGGCCCAGACUCCUACGGGAGGCAGCAGUAGGGAAUCUUCGGCAAUGGGGGCAACCCUGACCGAGCAACGCCGCGUGAGUGAAGAAGGUUUUCGGAUCGUAAAGCUCUGUUGUAAGUCAAGAACGGGUGUGAGAGUGGAAAGUUCACACUGUGACGGUAGCUUACCAGAAAGGGACGGCUAACUACGUGCCAGCAGCCGCGGUAAUACGUAGGUCCCGAGCGUUGUCCGGAUUUAUUGGGCGUAAAGCGAGCGCAGGCGGUUUGAUAAGUCUGAAGUUAAAGGCUGUGGCUCAACCAUAGUUCGCUUUGGAAACUGUCAAACUUGAGUGCAGAAGGGGAGAGUGGAAUUCCAUGUGUAGCGGUGAAAUGCGUAGAUAUAUGGAGGAACACCGGUGGCGAAAGCGGCUCUCUGGUCUGUAACUGACGCUGAGGCUCGAAAGCGUGGGGAGCGAACAGGAUUAGAUACCCUGGUAGUCCACGCCGUAAACGAUGAGUGCUAGGUGUUGGAUCCUUUCCGGGAUUCAGUGCCGCAGCUAACGCAUUAAGCACUCCGCCUGGGGAGUACGACCGCAAGGUUGAAACUCAAAGGAAUUGACGGGGGCCCGCACAAGCGGUGGAGCAUGUGGUUUAAUUCGAAGCAACGCGAAGAAACCUUACCAGGUCUUGACAUCCCGAUGCUAUUUCUAGAGAUAGAAAGUUACUUCGGGUACAUCGGGUGACAGGUGGUGCAUGGUUUGUCGUCAGCUCGUGUCGUGAGAUGUUGGGUUAAAGUCCCGCAAACGAGCGCAACCCCCUAUGUUAGUUGCCAUCAUUCCAGUGGGCACUCUAGCGAGACUGCCGGUAUAAUCGAAGGAGGUGGGGGAAUGAACGACCCAAAUUCAAUGAUUUGGCUAU
This 1190-nucleotide ribosomal RNA is filed under the name Streptococcus thermophilus. RNAcentral's name for it is "bacterial SSU rRNA". It matches the Rfam family "Bacterial small subunit ribosomal RNA", at positions 49 to 1217 of the family's 1533-position model. The record is from RNAcentral. Lineage: Bacteria; Bacillati; Bacillota; Bacilli; Lactobacillales; Streptococcaceae.